AAUAUUGGACAAUGGGCGAAAGCCUGAUCCAGCCAUGCCGCGUGUGUGAAGAAGGUCUUCGGAUUGUAAAGCACUUUAAGUUGGGAGGAAGGGUUAUAGGUUAAUAGCCUGCAAUGUUGACGUUACCAACAGAAUAAGCACUGGCUCACUUAGUGCACGCAGCCGCGGUAAUAAGAAGGGUGCAAUCUUUAAUCGGAAUUACUGGGCGUAAAGCGCGCGUAGGUGGUUCGUUAAGUUGGAAGUGAAAGCCCCGGGCUUAACCUGGGAAUUGCUUUCAAAACUGACGAGCUAGAGUACGGUAGAGGGUAGUGGAAUUUCCUGUGUAGCGGUGAAAUGCGUAGAUAUAGGAAGGAACAUCAGUGGCGAAGGCGACUACCUGGACUGAUACUGACACUGAGGUGCGAAAGCGUGGGGAGCAAAC
RNAcentral lists this ribosomal RNA (421 nucleotides) under uncultured bacterium. Its description in RNAcentral is "partial 16S ribosomal RNA". It matches the Rfam family "Bacterial small subunit ribosomal RNA", at positions 360 to 773 of the family's 1533-position model. The record is from RNAcentral.